Molecule: ribosomal RNA, 718 nt
Filed under: uncultured Pseudomonadota bacterium
Lineage: Bacteria; Pseudomonadati; Pseudomonadota
Description: bacterial SSU rRNA
Rfam family: Bacterial small subunit ribosomal RNA
Source: RNAcentral
UUCCCUUCGGGGAGCGAGUAAAGCGGCGCACGGGUGAGUAACACGUAGGUAACCUACCUCAUAGUCGGGAAUAACCCGGGGAAACCCGGGCUAAUGCCGGAUAAGACCACGAUUGCUUCGGCAGUCGAGGCCAAAGACGGCCUCUACACGUAAGCUGUUGCUAUGGGAUGGGCCUGCGGCCCAUUAGCUAGUUGGUAGGGUAAUGGCCUACCAAGGCUGUGAUGGGUAGCUGGUCUGAGAGGAUGAUCAGCCACACUGGGACUGAGACACGGCCCAGACUCCUACGGGAGGCAGCAGUGGGGAAUAUUGCGCAAUGGGGGAAACCCUGACGCAGCGACGCCGCGUGGGUGAUGAAGGCCUUCGGGUCGUAAAGCCCUGUCGUAGGGGAAGAACUGGUGGACGGCUAAUACCCGGCCACCUUGACGGUACCCUACAAGAAAGCACCGGCUAACUCCGUGCCAGCAGCCGCGGUAAUACGGAGGGUGCGAGCGUUGUUCGGAAUUACUGGGCGUAAAGCGCGUGCAGGCGGUCGAUUAAGUCCGGUGUGAAAGCCCGGGGCUCACCCCCGGAAGUGCGCUGGAAACUAAUCAACUAGAGUACGGGAGAGGGAAGUGGAAUUCCUGGUGUAGCGGUGAAAUGCGUAGAUAUCAGGAGGAACACCGGCGGCGAAGGCGGCUUCCUGGACCGAUACUGACGCUGAGACGCGAAAGCGUGGGGA